UUACUUACAAUAAACAAUUACUUACGUUAAUAUAUAAAGUAAAAAUAUUA
This 50-nucleotide transfer RNA is filed under the name Babesia sp. Lintan. RNAcentral's name for it is "tRNA-Cys". The record is from RNAcentral. Lineage: Eukaryota; Apicomplexa; Aconoidasida; Piroplasmida; Babesiidae.